Molecule: transfer RNA, 73 nt
Filed under: Solirubrobacterales bacterium
Lineage: Bacteria; Bacillati; Actinomycetota; Thermoleophilia; Solirubrobacterales
Also listed under: 2 other names
Description: tRNA-Ala
Rfam family: tRNA
About the family: Transfer RNA (tRNA) molecules are approximately 80 nucleotides in length. Their secondary structure includes four short double-helical elements and three loops (D, anti-codon, and T loops). Further hydrogen bonds mediate the characteristic L-shaped molecular structure. tRNAs have two regions of fundamental functional importance: the anti-codon, which is responsible for specific mRNA codon recognition, and the 3' end, to which the tRNAs corresponding amino acid is attached (by aminoacyl-tRNA synthetases). tRNAs cope with the degeneracy of the genetic code in two manners: having more than one tRNA (with a specific anti-codon) for a particular amino acid; and 'wobble' base-pairing, i.e. permitting non-standard base-pairing at the 3rd anti-codon position.
Source: RNAcentral
GGGGCCAUAGCUCAGUUGGGAGAGCGCCUGCUUUGCACGCAGGAGGUCACGGGUUCGAAUCCCGUUGGCUCCA